GCUAUUACCUCUGUCUAGUCCUCAGGUGGGAACCGGAGGGCAUGGUCCGUGGGCCAGGGGGUGCCACAAUUUUCCAGACUGAUCUAGCAGUUGUGAUUCCUUCCGAGUCCUACAGCCCUGGUUUAAAUCCCCGCCCCCACAGCUUUAAAGGACUAAAAUAAACAGGAAGUUUCCGUUUCACCUCGCUCUCACUGAGGCUUGGGCAGCAUGUGGUUUUAGCUGUCCAGUUCCGUAUCUCUCUUGAAGGACCUUUCAGGCCGAGCUGACAGCCAUCACCGAUCAGCCCCGACAGGCCUCCCUUCUCCUGCUUCCUGGAAUUGUAUUCCUUGGCUGGGAGAGGAGCAGAUGGUAAAUCGGAUGAGUCACCAGCUCCUCAACCUCCCACUUGCAGAAGCCAGCGAGAGCAGAGCUAACCGGACUCUGCCCUGAGGGAGAAGCAGUCGCGGCACUCUCUCUGAGGCAUGUGGGAUCUGAGUUCCCUGACCAGGGAUCAAACCACGACCCCUGCACUGCAAGGUGAAUUCCCAACCACUGGACCACCAGGGAAGUCCCCAACGUGCACCUUCUAUUCCCUCGAGCUUGCCUAGGGUCAGCCCUCCAACUUCAUCCAGUCCCAGACCAGGCUGGGGGGACAGUGAGAAUUGGACUCUGAAUGCAUCCACACUGACCUUCCAGAAGCUUCGGCUGGAGGCACUUUCCAGGCCUCACUCCAUAGCAGCAUCAGUGGACUGGAACUGCCUUGUUCCUUACCAGGUGCCCUGCCCACACAGUUUGGUGGGUUGGGGGCCACUCUGUCCCCAGGGGGCAGUUUCUAGUCUGGCACUAGCGUCCCCCCACCUGGCGAUGAUAACCCUCAGACUCUAGGGCAUCGUCCAGAAUGUUGAUGGUUGGGAGAUGGCUCUGGAAAUGACCAAGGUUAAAAAAUAACUAAACAGUGCCUCCCAUCCUGCCACCCCAACUCCCUGCCGGGCUAUAUGU
Long non-coding RNA from Bos taurus (domestic cattle), 978 nucleotides. Lineage: Eukaryota; Metazoa; Chordata; Mammalia; Artiodactyla; Bovidae. The record is from Ensembl.